Daphnia pulicaria is the source of this 1669-nucleotide long non-coding RNA. RefSeq lists it as uncharacterized. The transcript is spliced from 5 exons. The record is from RefSeq and is a predicted model, not a curated record. NCBI's taxonomy places the organism in Eukaryota, Metazoa, Arthropoda, Branchiopoda, Diplostraca, Daphniidae.
GCCACCUGCCACCCCUUUAUGCCCUCAGAAAAAUAUCCACAGUUUGACAGCAGUUGUAGUGCUUCAUUAAAUGAUAAUUUGAAAUGUUUUGUGCAAACUAAUUUCAGUUGAAGCUGGAAUGUUGACUAUGCAGCUAGGUUAUCUGUUUCAUUUUCUAGACUGAUAAAAGUAGCACCAUUGUUACAGCCAAGGUUACAGGACAUCACAAGAUGCCGAAAGGAUAUGACACACUUGUCAAUUGAAAAAGUGUUCACGUCAACGAGUGCAUUGUUUUUACCACUCAUGUGUUCCGACAAAGGAGUCCACGACAGAAUUGUUUAUUGCUGUAAUGGGGCUCAAGGGCAUCACCCAUGGAAAAGGGCUACAUGUAAUGUUGGUGAUGGAAGGCCGGUAGCACAGGUUGAUAUAGUUGCUGGGUCGUCUGGGUUACAGCCCCCAAAUUAGUCUUUUCUAUUCAAUUAAGAUUCUGCAAUUUCAGCCGUUAUUCUUUAAAAGGAAUAACCUACUGCAUCUUAUUGUAUGGUUCUGCCAAUUGCGAAGUUUGGGAGCGGAGUAUAAUGAAGGGAUCCUGUAGUUUUUAGAGUUAAACAGCACUCAUUCAUCUGGAUGUUAUUUUUAAUUAUUGUGUCCUCUUGGCCCAUCCAACCCAGCAUGGUAAUUAUUAAUUAAUUCUGAAUGAAAUUAAGACUGAUGAAUUAUCACACGCGGAAUUGGACAGGUGGUUCGUCCUUGGAGUAGCUGAACGAGGAGACUAUUACGGCAUCAACAAACCCAACGUAUUCACUCGAGCUGUUUUUGUCGGCGGGAUAUAACGAGAAGACCUGGCAGAUAACGCGUUUCCCAUCGACGUCGUCACGAUGAGUUUCAUCGGCUCAUUUUUCUUCCGAUGAGUUAAAAGUAUUUUCAUUUAUUUCCUUUUUUCUCGUUUAUGUAGUGUUAAUUUUGCAAUUUUUAAUUGAACCACUGAGCUAUUCUUAUACGUGGAUAGUGAAGAUUUAUUCACUGUGGAACACCUGCAUCGACUUCUUCGACUGGCCAUCGCUGGGGAAAUGGAAUUGAGUUUUGCCUUGUUGCUUCUCAUUUCCAGAAUACUUCCUUCUUUUCUUUCUUACUACUUUCUCUUGGACCAGAAUACUUCUUCGGCCAUGGUCAACAAACCACUCUGUAAUUUGAAAAAAGGAACAGCUUAUCAUUGGUAUCUGUUUGUCAUUCUAACGGCCGCCUUAUCAGCUGUUGGCCUGCCCUAGAUGCUCGUCCUUGUUCGGAAUUCGCCACUUAACGCCCACGCACUGACUGAUGUCGAUUAAAAGCAAUAAAUUCACCAAUUGCGAUUUCUGCGAUCACGAUCUUUACACGCUCACCUGCGUCGCGACGCCGUUCGAUUGCGCUGGUUGUUGCGCUGCUGAUUCUAGAUGCAGCCACUUCACUUACAGUACAUCGCCAAUCUCAAAGGAGGAACUUGCAUUUUGAAAAAAGCUUUCGGUUCCUGCGGCGCCUGGGCGUCGCCCGUUCCAUCGCCGUCGUCUCACGUCUGCGGUUACAUCCCCAGACGGGCCCUGCUUGACAUUUUCCUCAACAUUUGCGUCGGAUUGAACAUUAAUACGGGCAUCUUUCGCACCUGAACGGCUUAGCCUAUAAGACGAGGAUCCACACAUGCACCACUUGUAAA